CUCCGCGGGGCGCCCAGGGCCUGAGCCCGCCCCCCGCGGGUCCCCCAGCGCGGGAAGAGCUCCGCACUGCGGUUUGGAGCAGAAGAGCACCUGCCCUGCAGCCUCACUGGAGGCUGGCCCUGCAACGCUUUCUGGUUGGAUUUGGGAGACUCUUGAAAUGAAGGUGUUAGCCUUCUCCACUGAAAACAAAGAGAAGAGUUGAUGGGUCUUUCCGAAAGCUCCUGUGGCGACCAGGGCAGCCGUGUCUGGGCAGAACCUUGAAGCUGAUGAGGACGGGGUGCCGAGGCUCAGGGGCCUGGGGCACCAGGAGCUGCAGUCCUCCCCACCUGAGUGGUGUGUACAAGG
Molecule: long non-coding RNA, 345 nt
Organism: Lepus europaeus (European hare)
Lineage: Eukaryota; Metazoa; Chordata; Mammalia; Lagomorpha; Leporidae
Exons: 3
Source: RefSeq, a predicted model, not a curated record